Molecule: ribosomal RNA, 660 nt
Filed under: uncultured fungus
Lineage: Eukaryota; Fungi
Description: eukaryotic LSU rRNA
Rfam family: Eukaryotic large subunit ribosomal RNA
Source: RNAcentral
CCCGCUGAACUUAAGCAUAUCAAUAAGCGGAGGAAAAGAAACUAACAAGGAUUCCCCUAGUAACUGCGAGUGAAGCGGGAAAAGCUCAAAUUUAAAAUCUGGCGGUCUUUCGGCCGUCCGAGUUGUAAUCUGGAGAAGCGUUUAUCCGCGUUGGACCGUGUACAAGUCUUCUGGAAGGGAGCGUCAUAGAGGGUGAGAAUCCCGUCUUUGACACGGACUACCAAUGCUUUUGUGAUGCGCUCUCGAAGAGUCGAGUUGUUUGGGAAUGCAGCUCAAAAUGGGUGGUAAAUUCCAUCUAAAGCUAAAUAUUGGCGAGAGACCGAUAGCGAACAAGUACCGUGAGGGAAAGAUGAAAAGCACUUUGGAAAGAGAGUUAAACAGUACGUGAAAUUGUUGAAAGGGAAACGUUUGAAGUCAGUCGCGUCGGCCGAGACUCAGCCUUGCUUCCGCUCGGUGCACUUCUCGGUUGACGGGUCAGCAUCAGUUUUGGCCGGUGGAUAAAGGUUCAGAGAAUGUGGCAUCCUCGGAUGUGUUAUAGCUCUGGGUCGCAUACAUCGGCUGGGACUGAGGAACUCAGCACGCCGCAAGAUCCAGGUUUCGACCAUGUUCGUGCUUAGGAUGCUGGCAUAAUGGCUUUAAUCGACCCGUCUUGAAACACGG